This 22-nucleotide small nuclear RNA is filed under the name Arabidopsis thaliana (thale cress). RNAcentral's name for it is "snRNA_16998". Lineage: Eukaryota; Viridiplantae; Streptophyta; Magnoliopsida; Brassicales; Brassicaceae. The record is from RNAcentral.
AUUUGUCAUUGUCUUUACGGUC